Molecule: ribosomal RNA, 253 nt
Filed under: uncultured bacterium
Lineage: Bacteria
Description: partial 16S ribosomal RNA
Rfam family: Bacterial small subunit ribosomal RNA
Source: RNAcentral
UACGUAGGGUGCGAGCGUUAAUCGGAAUUACUGGGCGUAAAGCGUGCGCAGGCGGUUUUGUAAGUCAGAUGUGAAAUCCCCGGGCUCAACCUGGGAACUGCGUUUGAAACUACAAGGCUAGAGUGUAGCAGAGGGGGGUAGAAUUCCACGUGUAGCAGUGAAAUGCGUAGAGAUGUGGAGGAACACCGAUGGCGAAGGCAGCCCCCUGGGUUAACACUGACGCUCAGGCACGAAAGCGUGGGGAGCAAACAGG